UACGUAGGGGGCAAGCGUUGUCCGGAUUUAUUGGGCGUAAAAGGCUUGUAGGUGGCCACGCCAAGUCGGAUGUGAAAUCUCCCGGCUCAACUGGGAGGGGUCAUUCGAUACUGGCGGGCUCGAGGCCGGUAGGGGGAAGUGGAAUUCCCGGUGUAGUGGUGGAAUGCGUAGAUAUCGGGAGGAACACCGGUGGCGAAGGCGGGUCUCUGGGCCGAUAUUGACGCUGAGGAGCGAAAGCGUGGGGAGCGAACAGG
RNAcentral lists this ribosomal RNA (254 nucleotides) under uncultured bacterium. RNAcentral describes it as "partial 16S ribosomal RNA". It matches the Rfam family "Bacterial small subunit ribosomal RNA", at positions 524 to 776 of the family's 1533-position model. The record is from RNAcentral.